UGGGAUUUGGCUCAGUGGUAGAGCACUUGCCUAGCAAGUGCAAGGCCCUGGGUUUGAUCCCCAGCUCCAA
This 70-nucleotide transfer RNA is filed under the name Rattus norvegicus (Norway rat). It matches the Rfam family "tRNA". From Rfam's summary of the family: Transfer RNA (tRNA) molecules are approximately 80 nucleotides in length. Their secondary structure includes four short double-helical elements and three loops (D, anti-codon, and T loops). Further hydrogen bonds mediate the characteristic L-shaped molecular structure. tRNAs have two regions of fundamental functional importance: the anti-codon, which is responsible for specific mRNA codon recognition, and the 3' end, to which the tRNAs corresponding amino acid is attached (by aminoacyl-tRNA synthetases). tRNAs cope with the degeneracy of the genetic code in two manners: having more than one tRNA (with a specific anti-codon) for a particular amino acid; and 'wobble' base-pairing, i.e. permitting non-standard base-pairing at the 3rd anti-codon position. Lineage: Eukaryota; Metazoa; Chordata; Mammalia; Rodentia; Muridae. The record is from Rfam by way of RNAcentral.